Molecule: transfer RNA, 83 nt
Filed under: Thermococcus kodakarensis KOD1
Lineage: Archaea; Methanobacteriati; Methanobacteriota; Thermococci; Thermococcales; Thermococcaceae
Description: tRNA-Arg (TCT) (tRNA-Arg-TCT-2-1)
Rfam family: tRNA
About the family: Transfer RNA (tRNA) molecules are approximately 80 nucleotides in length. Their secondary structure includes four short double-helical elements and three loops (D, anti-codon, and T loops).
Source: RNAcentral
GGCCCUUUCAGCAGCCCACAAUUCAUUAAGGGAACGGCCUUCUAAGCCGGAGGUCGCGGGUUCGAAUCCCGCCGGGCCCGCCA